This 84-nucleotide non-coding RNA is filed under the name Sodalis sp. TME1. RNAcentral's name for it is "sRNA-Xcc1". It matches the Rfam family "sRNA-Xcc1". The record is from Rfam by way of RNAcentral. Lineage: Bacteria; Pseudomonadati; Pseudomonadota; Gammaproteobacteria; Enterobacterales; Bruguierivoracaceae.
GGUCGGGUGUGUGGCUAAUAAAAUACCCGCAAGGGGAAUAUGCCCGCCAUCUUCUACUGGUUUUGAGCACCCGACCGCCCUCUC